RNAcentral lists this ribosomal RNA (481 nucleotides) under uncultured bacterium. RNAcentral's name for it is "bacterial SSU rRNA". It matches the Rfam family "Bacterial small subunit ribosomal RNA", at positions 29 to 506 of the family's 1533-position model. The record is from RNAcentral.
ACGAACGCUGGCGGCGUGCUUAGCACAUGCAAGUCGGACGCGAAAGCCUUUCGGGGUGAGUAGAGUGGCGCACGGGUGAGUAAUAAAUAGGAACAUACCUACGGGUGGGGAAUAACUUCGGGAAACCGGAGCUAAUACCGCAUGAUAUCGAGAGAUUAAAGGAGGCCUAUCCUUGGAAGCUUCCGCCGGUAGAUUGGCCUAUUUCCCAUUAGCUAGUUGGUAGGGUAAAGGCCUACCAAGGCUACGAUGGGUAGCUGGUCUGAGAGGAUGAUCAGCCACACUGGAACUGAGAUACGGUCCAGACUCCUACGGGAGGCAGCAGUGGGGAAUUUUGCACAAUGGGCGCAAGCCUGAUGCAGCAACGUCGCGUGAGUGAAGAAGGCUCUUGGGUUGUAAAGCUCUUUCGGCUGGGAAGAGGGGUAUUCCGAGUAACUGCGGAGUAUCUGACGGUACCAGAAGAAGAAGCACUGGCUAAUUCCGU